Molecule: ribosomal RNA, 497 nt
Filed under: uncultured bacterium
Lineage: Bacteria
Description: partial 16S ribosomal RNA
Rfam family: Bacterial small subunit ribosomal RNA
Source: RNAcentral
GAUGAACGCUGGCGGCGUGCCUAAUACAUGCAAGUCGAGCGAACAGAUGAGGAGCUUGCUCCUCUGACGUUAGCGGCGGACGGGUGAGUAACACGUGGAUAACCUACCUAUAAGACUGGGAUAACUUCGGGAAACCGGAGCUAAUACCGGAUAAUAUAUUGAACCGCAUGGUUCAAUAGUGAAAGACGGUUUUGCUGUCACUUAUAGAUGGAUCCGCGCCGCAUUAGCUAGUUGGUAAGGUAACGGCUUACCAAGGCAACGAUGCGUAGCCGACCUGAGAGGGUGAUCGGACACACUGGAACUGAGAAACGGUCCAGAAUCCUACGGGAGGCAGCAGUAGGGAAUCUACCGCAAUGGGCGAAAGCCUGACGGAGCAACGCCGCGUGAGUGAUGAAGGUCUUCGGAUCGUAAAACUCUGUUAUUAGGGAAGAACAAAUGUGUAAGUAACUAUGCACGUCUUGACGGUACCUAAUCAGAAAGCCACGGCUAACUACGUG